UGGGGAAUAUUGGACAAUGGGCGCAAGCCUGAUCCAGCCAUGCCGCGUGAGUGAUGAAGGCCUUCGGGUUGUAAAGCUCUUUUGGCGGGGACGAUGAUGACGGUAACCGUAGAAUAAGCCCCGGCUAACUUCGUGCCAGCAGCCGCGGUAAUACGAAGGGGGCUAGCGUUGCUCGGAAUCACUGGGCGUAAAGGGUGCGUAGGUGGAUUUUUAAGUCAGGGGUGAAAUCCUGGAGCUCAACUCCAGAACUGCCUUUGAUACUGGGAAUCUUGAGUUCGGGAGAGGUGAGUGGAACUGCGAGUGUAGAGGUGGAAUUCGUAGAUAUUCGCAAGAACACCAGUGGCGAAGGCGGCUCACUGGCCCGAUACUGACACUGAGGCACGAAAGCGUGGGGAGCAAA
RNAcentral lists this ribosomal RNA (400 nucleotides) under uncultured bacterium. RNAcentral describes it as "bacterial SSU rRNA". It matches the Rfam family "Bacterial small subunit ribosomal RNA", at positions 355 to 772 of the family's 1533-position model. The record is from RNAcentral.